RNAcentral lists this ribosomal RNA (1241 nucleotides) under metagenome. RNAcentral describes it as "bacterial LSU rRNA". It matches the Rfam family "Bacterial large subunit ribosomal RNA", at positions 1564 to 2815 of the family's 2925-position model. The record is from RNAcentral.
UGAUGACGAGACGCUAAGGCGUUGAAGCAGUGUAUGUCAGACUUCCAAGAAAAGCUCGCAAUGUCACAAAUAAAAAUGCCUGUACCAUAACCGACACAGGUGGGUAGGUAGAGUAUACUAAGGGGCGCGAGAUAACUCUCUCUAAGGAACUCGGCAAAAUGACUCCGUAACUUCGGGAGAAGGAGUGCCUUAUUUAUAAGGUUGCAAUAACAAGAUCCAAGCAACUGUUUAUCAAAAACACAGGUCUCCGCUAAGUCGUAAGACGAUGUAUGGGGGCUGACGCCUGCCCAGUGCCAGAAGGUUAAAGAAGUUGGUUAGUGUAUGCGAAGCUGAUGACUGAAGCCCUGGUGAACGGCGGCCGUAACUAUAACGGUCCUAAGGUAGCGAAAUUCCUUGUCGGGUAAGUUCCGACCCGCACGAAAGGCGUAAUGAUUUGGAUACUGUCUCGGAGAGAGGCUCGGUGAAAUAGACUUGUCUGUGAAGAUGCGGACUACCUGCACCAGGACAGAAAGACCCUAUGAAGCUUUACUGUAACUUGAAAUUGGAAUUGGACUUUGCUUGCGCAGUAUAGGUGGGAAGCGUUGAAAAUAUUCUUGCGGGAGUAUUGGAGCUAUCAGUGAGAUACCACUCUUGUAAUGUUAGAUUUCUAACUUUGAACCAUAAUCUGGUCAAAGAACAGUUUCAGGUGGGCAGUUUGACUGGGGCGGUCGCCUCCCAAAUGGUAACGGAGGCGUACAAAGGUUUCCUCUGAACGGAUAGAAAUCGUAUCUAGAGUGUAAAGGCAUAAGGAAGCUUGACUGUGAGACCUACAAGUCGAGCAGGGACGAAAGUCGGUCUUAGUGAUCUGACGGUACUGAGUGGAAAGGCCGUCACUCAACGGAUAAAAGUUACUCUAAGGAUAACAGGCUGAUCUCCCCCAAGAGUUCACAUCGACGGGGAGGUUUGGCACCUCGAUGUCGGCUCAUCGCAUCCUGGGGCGGUAGUACGUCCCAAGGGUUGGGCUGUUCGCCCAUGAAAGCGGUACGCGAGCUGGGUUCAGAACGUCGUGAGACAGUUCGGUCCAUAUCCGGUGUAGGCGCUAGAAUAUUGAGAGGAGCCUUCUUUAGUACGAGAGGACCGAGAAGGACACACCGCUGGUGUACCAGUUAUCGUGCCAACGGUAAACGCUGGGUAGCUAUGUGUGGAGUGGAUAACCGCUGAAAGCAUCUAAGUGGGAAGCCCACCUCGAGAUGAGUAUUCGC